Molecule: ribosomal RNA, 241 nt
Filed under: uncultured bacterium
Lineage: Bacteria
Description: partial 16S ribosomal RNA
Rfam family: Bacterial small subunit ribosomal RNA
Source: RNAcentral
UACCCAGCAAUGGGAUGCGAAUCUCGAAAGCCUGUCUCAGUUCGGAUUGGAGGCUGAAACCCGCCUCCAUGAAGUUGGAUUCGCUAGUAAUCGCGCAUCAGCCAUGGCGCGGUGAAUACGUUCCCGGGCCUUGUACACACCGCCCGUCAAGCCAUGGGAGCCGGGGGUGCCUGAAGUUCGUGACCGCAAGGAGCGACCUAGGGCAAAACUGGUGACUGGGGCUAAGUCGUAACAAGGUAUC